GUUGUAGGAGAGGCUGGGGAAGCUAAAAGUGCCUACAACUCAAAUUCCAUAAUUUUGAGCGGAAGUGGGACUUUGGGGGUCUAGCCCCCCCUCCCUCCUUAAACCAAAUAUAUUGUUUGGAACUGGAUCAAGGUAAGAAUUUAAAAAAUUGAGACUGCUAAGCAGAACAGUAAAGAGGUUAUAAAAAGCAAUAUCAACGUAGCCAAAUUAUUUAUAUCGAUUCCAUAAUCAGAUGUUUCGCAGAUUAAACAAAUGUAUGGUACUGCCAAGAAAUAAGGGCUCGCUUAAGUGCGGUUUGGCAAAUUGAAAACAUUUUGGAGCUUCAUGCUUUAGAAAUUAAAGCCCACGCUGAAAGCUUCGACAGAGUAAUUUAUACUUAAGAGACAGAGAUUUAGCAGUAAUCGUACAUGAUAUACAGGGUAUACUAUUAGUCUCUGAGCUACCAGGCAUAUUUCUGAUUAAACUGACUUUAUUUAAAUGUCUCUUUCUCAACCACCAAUUAGGAAUGCACUACUGGUACGACUUGAAUGAAAACACGCCAUGUGAGGAACUGUUCCCUGUUUUCCUCCUCUACAACGGGGGCAAACUCAACGCUUUUGGAUGGGCCAUGCUAACUGAUCUCAAUUCAACUCGUUAUGAGCACUUUAAUGCUUCAGCAGUAGGGGGGUUCAUGCAAAAUGUCCCAACGUGUCUGAAGUCAGUGAAAACCGUGACGACUAUGCACAUCUACCUCACUGACAGAUAUAAUCUUGACUUGUGCUGACAGACCUGUGUAUAGUGAUUCUCUACAAAACUCACAGAAAUUGCAGCUUUUGUAGAUUUCAGUGUAUACAUUGGUUCUAUUGCAUCUUUCGGAAAUAAAAAAAUGAUAUUUUGAA
This is a long non-coding RNA of Aplysia californica (California sea hare), 878 nucleotides long. RefSeq lists it as uncharacterized. NCBI's taxonomy places the organism in Eukaryota, Metazoa, Mollusca, Gastropoda, Aplysiida, Aplysiidae. The transcript is spliced from 2 exons. The record is from RefSeq and is a predicted model, not a curated record.